Long non-coding RNA from Dreissena polymorpha, 370 nucleotides. RefSeq lists it as uncharacterized. NCBI's taxonomy places the organism in Eukaryota, Metazoa, Mollusca, Bivalvia, Myida, Dreissenidae. The transcript is spliced from 3 exons. The record is from RefSeq and is a predicted model, not a curated record.
CUCAGAUGUCAUCAACGCAAGCAGGCGGCUUGUUGAGAAAUCGACCGGAAAGCUACGAUUGGUGAGAAAGAGCGUCAACGGAGGUGAUAAAUAUUUAAAAAACGCAAGAAGAUUAUGCUAAAAAUGAUGUUUCUUUGGCAGAUCUACUGUUACACAUACCCAUUCAUUUGCAUGGCCAAAAGGUGCCCCAGUGGAGAAGUUACCCUGAUUGGCAAGUUAACAAGUACAUAAUAACAGACUUUUAUGGAUGCCGUCAACCAAGGAUCUAACCGGAAGUUAAAACCAGUAUAGGAGAGGCCACGACAGAAAAUAGAAAAAAACAGGUCAGUUGUUCAAAUAACUGAUGGCAAUCAGGGAGAGGAUUUAAGUA